RNAcentral lists this ribosomal RNA (459 nucleotides) under uncultured bacterium. RNAcentral describes it as "partial 16S ribosomal RNA". It matches the Rfam family "Bacterial small subunit ribosomal RNA", at positions 29 to 523 of the family's 1533-position model. The record is from RNAcentral.
AACGAACGCUGGCGGCGGGCCUAACACAUGCAAGUCGAACGAGAAGCCACCUUCGGGUGGUGGACAGUGGCAGACGGGUGAGUAACGCGUGGGAACGUGCCUUUCGGUUCGGGAUAACCCAGGGAAACUUGGGCUAAUACCGGAUACGCCCUCCGGGGGAAAGAUUCAUCGCCGAAAGAUCGGCCCGCGUCGGAUUAGCUAGUUGGUAGGGUAAUGGCCUACCAAGGCGACGAUCCGUAGCUGGUCUGAGAGGAUGACCAGCCACACUGGGACUGGGACACGGCCCAGACUCCUACGGGAGGCAGCAGUGGGGAAUAUUGGACAAUGGGCGAAAGCCUGAUCCAGCCAUGCCGCGUGGGUGAAGAAGGCCUUAGGGUUGUAAACCCCUUUCAGCGGGGAAGAUAAUGACGGUACCCGCAGAAGAAGUCCCGGCUAACUCCGUGCCAGCCGCCGCCGUAA